ACUCAUACUCAGUUGGUAGAAUAUGGGACUCUCGAUCUCAGGAUUGUGGGUUCGAGCCCCACGCUGGGCG
Pangasianodon gigas (Mekong giant catfish) is the source of this 70-nucleotide non-coding RNA. NCBI's taxonomy places the organism in Eukaryota, Metazoa, Chordata, Actinopteri, Siluriformes, Pangasiidae. The record is from the annotation of a GenBank genome assembly.